Molecule: long non-coding RNA, 737 nt
Organism: Hyla sarda
Lineage: Eukaryota; Metazoa; Chordata; Amphibia; Anura; Hylidae
Exons: 3
Source: RefSeq, a predicted model, not a curated record
AGCGGAGAAGAGGGCCUCCCGGUGAAAAUGGACAGCCAGGAACUACUAACCCUCCCCACCGGACGGUCCCAGCAGCAUAGAUGGCCCGGGCCAGCUCACCCUUCCUUCCCACCGAGGGGAGGUCAACAGGUGUCAACAGUAAGACACUGAAUAUUACAGAGGAGGCUUAUGCUGUUGCUCAAGAGUUCCUCAGAGACCUGCACAAUAAGAAAUCCAAACUGCAGCUGCUUGGAAAGUAUAAUAACAUCUGUAAAGAACCACCAUCCACCUACACCAACUGAAAUCAAGACACAUCUGAAAGACACUCACUGCAAAAAAACAGCAGUCCCUUGUGUGCAAAAUAAACUCAAUGGAAAGAACACAUUUCUACAUCUCUUGAUCAUUCUGCAACUGUGAAAUGAGGUCAAUUGUGAGGAAGCUAUGGCAACUCAGUUAUAGGCUCCUAUGGCUGAGAUAGAAGAGAUUGAGCAUGCAACUAUUGCCCUGGUGCUUCACCAGUCACUGAUUUAUGGAAUAGUAACAGACAGCUACUGUUAAAAAAAAAAUCCUGACAUCUCAUGUACAACUUGCCUAAUGGAGAGUCUCAACUCAAGUGGAAAAGGGUUCUAUGGUCUGGUUCUUUGGCGUUAAAAACACUACACUUGGCUUAGGACAAACACUACACAGUGCUUGAAUAGUGUUGUAAAGAAAAAUGUGGAAAAAUUGCAAUGUCCUUAUGUUUAAAGCUGCAAGAACUA